This 492-nucleotide ribosomal RNA is filed under the name uncultured bacterium. RNAcentral's name for it is "partial 16S ribosomal RNA". It matches the Rfam family "Bacterial small subunit ribosomal RNA", at positions 29 to 507 of the family's 1533-position model. The record is from RNAcentral.
AGUGAACGCUGGCGGUAGGCCUAACACAUGCAAGUCGAACGGCAGCACAGUAAGAGCUUGCUCUUACGGGUGUCGAGUGGCGGACGGGUGAGGAAUACAUCGGCAUCUACUUUUUCGUGGGGGAUAACGUAGGGAAACUUACGCUAAUACCGCAUACGACCUACGGGUGAAAGCACGGGAUCUUCGGACCUUGCGCGAUUGCAUGAGCCGAUGUCGGAUUAGCUAGUUGGCGGGGUAAAGGCCCACCCAGGCGACGAUCCGUAGCUGGUCUGAGAGGAUGAUCAGCCACACUGGAACUGAGACACGGUCCAGACUCCUACGGGAGGCAGCAGUGGGGAAUAUUGGACAAUGGGCGCAAGCCUGAUCCAGCCAUACCGCGUGGGUGAAGAAGGCCUUCGGGUUGUAAAGCCCUUUUGUUGUGAAAGAAAAGCAGCAGGUUAAUACCGCGCUGUUCUGACGGUACCCAAAGAAUAAGCACCGGCUAACUUCGUG